Molecule: long non-coding RNA, 109 nt
Organism: Octopus sinensis (East Asian common octopus)
Lineage: Eukaryota; Metazoa; Mollusca; Cephalopoda; Octopoda; Octopodidae
Exons: 3
Source: RefSeq, a predicted model, not a curated record
CUAUACCUGGACACGCCUCAGUCAACAACUCCCUACUUGAAUGAGCAAUGAUACCACAAAACUUGACUUUAAAAAUGACUUAAAAGAUCCUUUAUCAUGUAAUGCUUUU